This 497-nucleotide ribosomal RNA is filed under the name uncultured bacterium. Its description in RNAcentral is "partial 16S ribosomal RNA". It matches the Rfam family "Bacterial small subunit ribosomal RNA", at positions 28 to 507 of the family's 1533-position model. The record is from RNAcentral.
GAUGAACGCUGGCGGCGUGCCUAAUACAUGCAGGUCGAGCGAACAGACGAGGAGCUUGCUCCUCUGACGUUAGCGGCGGACGGGUGAGUAACACGUGGAUAACCUACCUAUAAGACUGGGAUAACUUCGGGAAACCGGGGCUAAUACCGGAUAAUAUAUUGAACCGCAUGGUUCAAUAGUGAAAGACGGUUUUGCUGUCACUUAUAGAUGGAUCCGCGCCGCAUUAGCUAGUUGGUAAGGUAACGGCUUACCAAGGCAACGAUGCGUAGCCGACCUGAGAGGGUGAUCGGCCACACUGGAACUGAGACACGGUCCAGACUCCUACGGGAGGCAGCAGUAGGGAAUCUUCCGCAAUGGGCGAAAGCCUGACGGAGCAACGCCGCGUGAGUGAUGAAGGUCUUCGGAUCGUAAAACUCUGUUAUUAGGGAAGAACAAAUGUGUAAGUAACUAUGCACGUCUUGACGGUACCUAAUCAGAAAGCCACGGCUAACUACGUG